Molecule: long non-coding RNA, 444 nt
Organism: Fundulus heteroclitus (mummichog)
Lineage: Eukaryota; Metazoa; Chordata; Actinopteri; Cyprinodontiformes; Fundulidae
Exons: 2
Source: RefSeq, a predicted model, not a curated record
GACUUCCAGAUGAAAAAUUAUGCAAAUCCUCUAUUUUUAUGGGGGAUUUCUUGGCCUCUAUUUGGUACUCCAAGCUGUAGGAUGUCAAUGCUGUAAGUGGAUAAGUGAAACUUUUUGAUUGUUGGAUGCAUUAACCCACACAAUUCAUCACACUGUCCCAUUGCUUGCUAGGGGGUGGAGUGGAAAGCUUUGCAACCUGGAGGGGUGUGGGCAGAGCCAUAGAGAUAAAAAGAGUCGCGACACUCCCAUUGGACUGCGUUGUACGCUGUUUGCCGCCUACUUCCGGGGUAUGCAGCCUCGCAUAGUUCCAAAAAGCCAUUCUAUGGCGUCGGACAUCAUUCACUUCCAUUGCUGACUGUCGAGUAACUUCUGAGAUCUUGCUGGACCAGCAGUAUCGUUGUUGUGGCCAUCACAGGUUUCAGUGGAGCGCCCCCCCCCCCCCCC